RNAcentral lists this small RNA (153 nucleotides) under Chrysemys picta bellii (western painted turtle). RNAcentral describes it as "TUC338 (ENSCPBG00000004660.1)". The record is from RNAcentral. Lineage: Eukaryota; Metazoa; Chordata; Testudines; Emydidae.
UUGACAACCCUGGAGACUGAAGUCUUGUAGCCACAGAAAAGGUACAUAACAGGCAGUGCAAGUUUGCCCACACUUCUUCAUUGAGCCUUAGUCCUGUCCUUUAGGGAUAACAGCGUAGGUCUGUGCUGUGUAAUUGUUUGCCUCUUUGCAAGA